Python bivittatus (Burmese python) is the source of this 1094-nucleotide long non-coding RNA. RefSeq lists it as uncharacterized. Lineage: Eukaryota; Metazoa; Chordata; Lepidosauria; Squamata; Pythonidae. The record is from RefSeq and is a predicted model, not a curated record.
UGAUAACUAGAACAGCCCUUGAGUGACAAGUGAAGUAUGAGUCUGCAUGCAAGCCAUAUUGGUAGUAAAACUCCAGAGGGAAUAUUGUUUUUCCCUGCAAUACCACAACAAGCAAACUAAUAUACUUUUCAUAAUUAUGUCAUCUGAUGCAACAACUUUUAACAGCACUGAAUCUUCUUUCUUCCAUAAGGCCAAAUCAGAUUGUACAACAAGAGAGAUGCUGAGCUGCAAGAUGCCAAUCAAGCUUAUAAAAACAGCGGUAAUAGAAAUAAGCAUCAUGAAUGUUCCAUCAAACCAAAAUAUUCAAACGAAAGUAGAAACACUUGGAGCAUCAUUCCUUUCCUGAUGCAAAUGACAAGAUGUUUUGACAAUUAUCAGAAAAAGCCAAGUACAGGCGGUACCUCACUGUUCCAAUCAAAAUCUUCACCAGGUUCUUCAGAAAAGCUUUUCACCACACCCACUUUAUGACCAUUACUCAACCCAUGAUCAUCACAGGCACACUAACCUGGGAUUGUGUUUUGAGGAAAAGCUUAGGGCAGAUCUUCUUCCUUUUCUUGCAUGAACCUCAGUUCAGAGUUCUGAGAGCCAGCCAAACUCUUUCGGUCUUAGAAGCCAAGGUCUCUCAAGCCUCUAGCUGGUCUCUCUCUUCAGAAGCCUGCCCACUUUGCUGCUCUUCUUCUCCUAUUAAACUGGCCCUGGCAGCUUUUCGGCAUUACUGUACAGGGAAGGAUUAUUGACUGAAGUCUGUUUCUCUUAGAGGUAGGAGCUUGAUAGCUGUUUAUUUGCAAAGUGACAGUACUGCCUCUUGACAAUGUUAAUGCUGCCUUCAGAGGCAAGGCAGCGAGCAGGAAUUUCUAUUCUUUCUUUCUUUAUUUGUAUGGAUAUAAGCAGCUGGACUCUGGGGGGGCAAGUUAAAAUGUCAAAGGAACUGUAAAAUACACUUUAUUUUUGUAUUAAUGCUUAUGUAACUGAACUUGAAAUAAAUCCAAGAAUACUAUAAAGAUGGUCAACAUGUAUGUAAGUAGUAUACAUGGUUUUAUUGGUCCUCAAGUUUGUUUUAGGUAAAAAGAUGCUCAACUGCAUAAAUACUGAAA